RNAcentral lists this ribosomal RNA (305 nucleotides) under uncultured bacterium. Its description in RNAcentral is "partial 16S ribosomal RNA". It matches the Rfam family "Bacterial small subunit ribosomal RNA", at positions 505 to 807 of the family's 1533-position model. The record is from RNAcentral.
ACAGCAGCAGCCGCGGUAAUGCGGAGGGAGCUAGCGUUGUUCGGAAUUACUGGGCGUAAAGCGCACGUAGGCGGUUAUUCAAGUCAGAGGUGAAAGCCCGGGGCUCAACCCCGGAACUGCCUUUGAAACUAGAUGACUAGAAUCUUGGAGAGGUCAGUGGAAUUCCGAGUGUAGAGGUGAAAUUCGUAGAUAUUCGGAAGAACACCAGUGGCGAAGGCGACUGACUGGACAAGUAUUGACGCUGAGGUGCGAAAGCGUGGGGAGCAAACAGGAUUAGAUACCCCCGUAGUCCCUGUCUCUUAUAC